Molecule: transfer RNA, 69 nt
Filed under: Cerion tridentatum costellata
Lineage: Eukaryota; Metazoa; Mollusca; Gastropoda; Stylommatophora; Cerionidae
Description: tRNA-Trp
Source: RNAcentral
AGGCUUAAUAGGAUAAGCAAUAAUCCAAUGGCCUUCAAAGCCGUAAAUAGGGGUCGUCUCUUUAGCCUG